This is a non-coding RNA of Dipodomys ordii (Ord's kangaroo rat), 65 nucleotides long. The record is from Rfam. Lineage: Eukaryota; Metazoa; Chordata; Mammalia; Rodentia; Heteromyidae.
GGUGGCUCAGUGGUAGAGUGCUUGCCUUGCAUGCAUGAGGCCCUGGGUUCGAUUCCUCAGUACCG